This 454-nucleotide ribosomal RNA is filed under the name uncultured bacterium. RNAcentral's name for it is "bacterial SSU rRNA". It matches the Rfam family "Bacterial small subunit ribosomal RNA", at positions 335 to 785 of the family's 1533-position model. The record is from RNAcentral.
ACUCCUACGGGAGGCAGCAGUGAGGAAUAUUGGUCAAUGGAGGCAACUCUGAACCAGCCAUGCCGCGUGCAGGAAGACUGCCCUAUGGGUUGUAAACUGCUUUUAUACAGGAAGAAACAGUCGUACGAGUACGACCUUGACGGUACUGUAAGAAUAAGCACCGGCUAACUCCGUGCCAGCAGCCGCGGUAAUACGGAGGGGUGCAAGCGUUAUCCGGAAUCAUUGGGUUUAAAGGGUCCGCAGGCGGUCAAUUAAGUCAGAGGUGAAAUCCCAUAGCUUAACUAUGGAACUGCCUUUGAUACUGGUUGACUUGAGUUAUACGGAAGUAGAUAGAAUAAGUAGUGUAGCGGUGAAAUGCAUAGAUAUUACUUAGAAUACCGAUUGCGAAGGCAGUCUACUACGUGUAUACUGACGCUCAUGGACGAAAGCGUGGGGAGCGAACAGGAUUAGAUAC